GAACAGGAUUGUGCAAGAGCAACCUGAAUAGCCACAAGAUCAAACCUUCAACAUGAAGUGGCACUUUCAACUAUAUAGGAACAUGCUACAAUCUGGCAAUUGCAAUCAUAAGAAUUCCACAAGAAAAUUUGUAAAAAGUCAGGAAAUUGUACAACCCUCAGAACUUAGCCAUUGGCUGCAUUACACACCCAUAAAGAAAUAUCUCAAAUAGUUUCAGCAAUAACCAUCAAUAAAAAAAAUUUCUUAUAAGACAUUGAUUAAGCAAAAUUUCACAUGCAUGAUACCAUGAACAUGAUUUAUACUUGUCACUCAAAAACUACGCAUUUGGUUAAGUAAGCUGAAGAAAUACUAUCGUUGUUUACCCAUUCUCAGAGCAUAUAAGUUUAGAAAAACUAGAAGAAUGGCCUUAUCCUAGACAUGCCACAUACCUAGGUUAAGUGUCAACUAUAGCAUAAUAAGAUGUCGCAUUGAUGUUCGUACUCAUGGAAAAAGGUAAAAAGUGAAGUUAUCACCCUUAUUCCUAAUUCCUAUACAAUCCUGGAGAAAGAACUAAAAACAAGACAUUGGAUUAAUAGCUUGAAGCAGCAAAAAUAUAUGUCAAUAUAUUUAUGUCGCAUGGAUGCAUGCAUGUGCAAUUUGACUUCCUAAUGAUGAUUUGCCCAUUCCCAAACGAUACUGUGAGAAAAUAGAAUAGAAGAAG
RNAcentral lists this unclassified non-coding RNA (700 nucleotides) under Hevea brasiliensis (rubber tree). The record is from RNAcentral. Lineage: Eukaryota; Viridiplantae; Streptophyta; Magnoliopsida; Malpighiales; Euphorbiaceae.